GACGAACGCUGGCGGCGUGCUUAACACAUGCAAGUCGAACGGAAAGGCCCUGCUUUUUUUGGGUGCUCGAUUGGCGAUCGGGUGUGUAACACGUGUGUAACCUGCCCUUGACUUUGGUAUAACUUCAGGAAACUGGGUCUAAUACCUGAUAGGAGCUCCUGCUGCAUGGUGGUGUUUGGAAAGUUUCGGCGGUUGGGGAUGGACUCGCGGCUUAUCAGCUUGUUGGUGGGGUAGUGGCUUACCAAGGCUUUGACGGGUAGCCGGCCUGAGAGGGUGACCGGCAAAAUUGGGACUGAGAUACGGCCCAGAGUGCAACGGGAGGAAGCAGUGGGGAAUAGUGCACAAUGGGAGGAAGCGUGAUGAAGAAAAGCGGCGUGCGGGAUGAAGGCAUUCGGGUUGUAAAAAGAAUUAGAAUGUGACGAAGAGUGAGUGACGGUAAUGGGUAAAGAAGCACCGGCUAACUACGUG
RNAcentral lists this ribosomal RNA (468 nucleotides) under uncultured bacterium. RNAcentral describes it as "partial 16S ribosomal RNA". It matches the Rfam family "Bacterial small subunit ribosomal RNA", at positions 28 to 507 of the family's 1533-position model. The record is from RNAcentral.